AGAGUUUGAUCAUGGCUCAGAACGAACACUGGCGGCGUGGAUUAGGCAUGCAAGUCGAGCGGGAUCCUGUUGAUUCAAUCCUUCGGGAGAGAAACUUCAGGUGAGAGCGGCGAACGGGUGAGUAAUAUAUGGGUAAUUUGCCCUGGAGCUCGGGAUAGCCAUUCGAAAGAGUGGGUAAUACCGAAUGUGCUCGCCCCGCACCUGCGGGGUUAUGUAAAGGUGGGGAUCUUCGGACCUGCCACUCCUGGAUAAGCCCAUAUCCUAUCAGCUUGUUGGUGAGGUAACAGCUCACCAAGGCGUUGACGGGUAGCCGACCUGAGAGGGUGACCGGCCACACUGGGACUGAGACACUGCCCAGACUCCUACGGGAGGCUGCAGUCGAGAAUCAUUGUCAAUGCACGAAAGUGUGAACAUGCGACGCCGCGUGGAGGACGAAUGCCUUCGGGUUGUAAACUCCUGUCCUGAGGGAGUAAGUGUACGACGGUUAAUACCCGCUGUACUUGAUAGUACCUCAGAAGAAAGUCACGGCUAACUCUGUGCCAGCAGCCGCGGUAAUACAGAGGUGGCAAGUGUUGUUCGGAUUUACUGGGCGUAAAGGGUUCGCAGGCGGUCCUGUGUGUCAGAUGUGAAAAUCCACGGCUUAANCUGUGGAACUGCAUUUGAAACUACAGGACUUCGAGUC
This 682-nucleotide ribosomal RNA is filed under the name uncultured bacterium. RNAcentral's name for it is "bacterial SSU rRNA". It matches the Rfam family "Bacterial small subunit ribosomal RNA", at positions 8 to 649 of the family's 1533-position model. The record is from RNAcentral.